AAAACGGCGUGCAUCCGCAAUCCGAUUUCAAAAAGUGCAUGUGGGUAUACACCUACUUAGACAGGCGCCUUCUUAUAUACCUCAGGGAUACGUGUCCUUGCGCGCAUAAUUUGCAGUUUAAUGAAAGCGUGACAUUUUAUUGUAUUUAUUCAGCGAUUAUUUUAUAUGGGCGUUUAUAAGUAAUAAGCUGACAGCAGAAAACAUAGUCUACAUCAGAGUUGGACCCCGAUAUCAAACCUCAAUGGAGGAUUGCCUUCAUCAUCAUCAUGGUUAAACGGUCGCAAGCGCCGUAGCUUUAUUAUUAUAAUACCUAUAUAAUAUCUUAGAUUUAUUGAUGGGAAGUAGGUAGAGGAUAAUGCCGUUGCGAUAAAUAAGAUAACAUUGUGAAUAUUAUGUAUUACACCAACUUUAGCUAUAUCUAUAUUAAGAAAAGGCUUAUCAUAUAACCUUCAUAUCAAUUACAGCUAUUAAGAAAAGUUUCGUAUGGGGCUAAAUCAAUAUUUUUCUUGAAUCAAAGUUUAUGUGCCGAUAAUACCUGUGAUAAGGCAAGCUUCUUAAAUCAAAUUGAUACACUUGGGGCAGCACCUUCAUAAUACGUGUAAGCAUACGAUUUAAAACAGAUGUGUUAUUAAUUCCUGCAAUCAAAGUGCUAGGAUAUAAAUUUUUAUUACUCUAGUUAGAAUAGUGCUGUUAUAUAAACUCUCACAAAUUUUGUUAAUUUUUCUUGGAUUUAAGUUUAUAUGGUGAUAAUACCCGUGCUAAGGCAGGCUUCUUAAUCCCGAACAGGAUAGAGAUGGACGUUGGGUGGGAGGAGGUGCCUCAAGACUUGUUUACGGGAGAAAGGAAGCUAACUUUAUGUACUGUUAAUAUCUGUGAUACGACACGCUUCUUAAAUCAAAUUGAUACACUUGAGCAGUACCUUCAUAAUACGUGUAAGCGUACGAUUUAAAACAGAUGUGUUAUUAAUUCUAGCAAUCAAAGAUCGAUCUACCUUGUAUAGCUUUGGUUAAAUUAUUAUUGGUUAGAUACACCUCUUUCCAUGACCACCCAGGAGGCAAUAAAUUCGCACUAGAAAUAAUGCAAUUUAUUGGAGAUGUUUACGACCUCGUUAUAGGAUUCCCCAUUAGUUAUUUCUCUACACAGGGUGUAUGAAAAAAUAACUAACAGGCCUUCCUUUUUAAUAGUACUGCAACAAUGAAAUCUUAAAUUUAUACAAGAAUUUUCUAUUUUUAGCUUUAUACAGGGGUAGUUUGCUAAUAACCUUUAGUCUAAGAAUAUUCCUAAAAUAAUAUCCUAAUUAUUUGUAUACAAAUUUCCUAGGAUUUUGACAAUUUUUCUUGGAUUUAAGUUUAUGUGCUGAUAAUAUCUGUGAUAAGGCAAGCUUCUUAAUUCCAAACUAGGAUAGAGAUGCUUCUGGCGCCUUAAGACUUUUUACGAGAGAAAGGAUAACACCGUAUAGCAUUAUGGAUAAAUACCUAACCACUACAUCUUACUAUUUUAGGUAAGAGCUUAGAACACGGAUACAAUCAUAAUCUAUGCAGUGGGGCGGAUAAGAAAAACAGAACAAAAUUUAACAGGUUUAUUAAUUCU
This is a long non-coding RNA of Photinus pyralis (common eastern firefly), 1590 nucleotides long. RefSeq lists it as uncharacterized. NCBI's taxonomy places the organism in Eukaryota, Metazoa, Arthropoda, Insecta, Coleoptera, Lampyridae. The record is from RefSeq and is a predicted model, not a curated record. The transcript has 3 exons.